RNA transcript from Oryza brachyantha (malo sina), 2827 nucleotides. It is a transcript of the gene named wall-associated receptor kinase 5-like, with no coding region annotated. The record is from RefSeq and is a predicted model, not a curated record. NCBI's taxonomy places the organism in Eukaryota, Viridiplantae, Streptophyta, Magnoliopsida, Poales, Poaceae. The transcript has 4 exons.
AUGAGCUCUGGCUUAAUCGCAGCUUGCGCAUUAGUUUUGUGCUGGUGUGCUCGGCAGCUAUGCCGCGAGAAUCGGCUACACCCCUCGGAGUUGGAGGAGGGCUCUUGUCUAUCCCUUCUAAUGAAUCCCUCGCUCAUUGUCCUUCCCGUUGUACGUGGGGAUAUCGACGUCACGUACCCCUUCGGGAUUGCGCCGGGUUGCUUCCGGCAAGGCUUCGAGCUCACCUGUCGCAACACCACCAAAACACCUAGGCUCUACCUUGGAGAUGGUACUACCGAGGUUGCCCUGGUCAUCGGUUCUUUGAGUUUGGUUUCGGUCCCCAUGUACUUCAACAUUACUGUGAGGCCAGAUAUAGAUAUCUACAACAUGUCCUGGGUAUCCCCCGCUGAUGGUAUUUCCGUUUCUGACAAUAACAUUUUUUACAUUAUCGGUUGUAAUUUUGAUGCUACUUUGUUCGAGUAUGGCACGGGAGACCUUGUUGGUUCUUGCAUGAGUAGAUGUGACGGUGAAAAGCUACCCCUGGGAGGGCCUUGUAAUGGGAUGGGAUGCUGCUCCAUCCAGUUUUCAAGGAGCCUGCGGGGUUUUCAGUCAAUGCUACUUGUUCGCUCAGAUGGCAUUCCUGGUACUGCACAAUCGGAUCCAGUGCACCCUGGCUUCAUGGCUUUCAUGUCGAAUGGUUACUACGAGCCAAACACGAGUGAGAUUUUCUCUGGUUGGACAAACGCAAGCAGUGUCGAAGGCAUGGUAGUUCAAUUUGCUAGCAUAGAGCAACCAACCUGUGAACGUGCGCAAGCAAGCAACACAAGUUAUGCAUGUAGCUCUAGCAGCAAUUGCCGAGAUGUGUCAACUGGAGGUUACAGCUGUGACUGUUCCCCUUAUGGAAGUGGCAACGCGUACAUCUUAGAUGGAUGCAUAGGCUAUAACCCCACGCAUAAAGAACAAUGUUCAACGUCCUGCGGAGGCAUGGAAAUUCCUUUCCCUUUUGGAGUGGAAGAAGGUUGUUUUGCUGAUGAAAGGUUUAGACUCUACUGUACAAAAGAUAAUCUCACUGUUUGCGAAUUAGGAGCAGCACAAUAUCGUGUGACUGCUUUGUCUUUGGAAAAUGGGACUCUCACUGUCAGCAACAUGAUGAACGACACAAACUACGGGAAAGAGGAGAUAAUUAUUCAGACCACAAACGAUGGUGGUACGUCAUUCUCAGUCCCUGUGGAAGAUACAUUUGAUCUCUCUAUGGAAUACGCCAUUAUUAUAAGAUGGGCAGUUGCCAAUUUAACUUGUGAAGUAGCACCACAAAAGAACUCUACGUACGCAUGCCGCAGCAGCCACAGCUACUGUUUGAACGUCACCCACAGGGAACAAUUCAUGGGAUAUCGUUGCAAGUGUUCUUCCGGCUACGAAGGGAACCCAUACAUAAAGGAUGGUUGUACAGACAUAAAUGAAUGCUUACUGCCAAACUACUGUAAUGGCACGUGCCAAAAUUUACCUGGAAACUACACAUGCACAAGCUGCCCGCGUAGAAAAGAGUUUGAUCCGAUCAAAAGGAAGUGUGUUACAUCAGCUAAGCAACGGAAUCUUCUUCUAGGCAUUGCUACCGGAAUUGGUUGUGGUCUUGGUUCCAUACUAAUUGCAUUAGGGGCAAUGAUACUCGCAAAUAAGUGGAAAAAAGGCAUCCAAAAGAGAAUUUGAAGAGCAUGUUUUAAGAAAAAUCAAGGUUUACUUUUGGAGCAACUAAUCUCAAACGAAAGUGCCACAAACAAAACAAAGAUAUUCUCCUUGGAAGAACUAGAAGAGGCAACCAACAACUUUGGUGCUACUUGUGUUCUUGGUUGCGGUGGACAUGGCACAGUUUAUAAAGGGAUUCUAUCCGACCAACGUGUGGUGGCCAUUAAAAAAUCAAAAAUUGUGGAGCAAAUUGAGAUAGAUCAGUUUAUCAAUAAGGUUGCUAUCUUGUCUCAAAUCAUCCACUGCAAUGUGGUAAAGCUUUUUGGUUGUUGUCUUGAAUCCGAGGUACCUCUGCUAGUCUAUAAAUUCAUAUCUAAUGGCACACUACAUGACCACCUUCAAAUUGAUAGUAGUGUUAAAUGUUUGUUGUCAUGGGAUGACCGUAUUAGGAUUGUUGUGGAAGCAGCAGGGGCACUUGCCUAUCUACAUUCAGCUGCUGCAAUAUCAAUUUUCCACAGAGAUGUGAAAUCUUCUAAUAUUCUCUUAGAUAGCAGUUUUACCAUAAAGGUCUCUGAUUUUGGUGCUUCAAGAUCUAUUUCUCUUGAUGAGACACAUGUGGUGACCAUUGUCCAAGGUACAUUUGGUUAUUUAGAUCCAGAAUAUUAUCAUACUGGACAACUAACCGAAAAGAGUGAUGUAUAUAGUUUUGGGGUGAUACUUGUAGAAACCAAUUUUCAUCAACGAUGCAAGUGCAAAACAAAGCUUGUCUCAUUACUUCAUUGAAGGACUUCAAGAGGGAUCUCUAAUGGGAAUAGUAGAUCCCCAGGUUGUCGAAGAGGCAAACAAGGAAGAGAUCAACGACAUUGAGGCAUGCUUGAAAGUUAAAGGAGGAGAUAGACCUAAUAUGAAAGAAGUAGAGAUGAGGUUGCAGUUGCUGAAAACCAAGAGGCUAAAAAAUUCCAACUUCGCCCUGAAAAUGAUGGAAAAAUUCAGCACCUUUUAAGCCCAAAUGCUAGUAGCUCUUAUGCACACAAUAUAACAUCAGAAGGAAUCUCCGGUCGCUACAGUAUAGAGCAAGAAUUAUCAUCCUCAAUCAGUUUGCCACGCUAACUUGAUAUGUGUAAUAUAUAUAUAACAUAGUGAUGUGCUUUGAGUAAAUAAUAUU